This 654-nucleotide unclassified non-coding RNA is filed under the name Helichrysum lineare. Its description in RNAcentral is "partial external transcribed spacer". The record is from RNAcentral. Lineage: Eukaryota; Viridiplantae; Streptophyta; Magnoliopsida; Asterales; Asteraceae.
GUUGUUGUUGUUGAUGACAUUCGUCCCAAGGUGACGUGGUGUCAUGUUGCUUGUGUAUUCUAGUUUUAAGCUUUUCGAGCUUGAAACGUGUGGAUAAUCGGUGGUGACAUACAUCACUCCUUUGGUUGAUGAAGGUCGUCCAACGAUGUGGUGGUUUGUUUAUUUUGUUCUCGCAUCGUUCGGUGCAUUCUGUGGUCAUUUUGGCUAUUAGUGGCUUGCUUGGCAAUUGGGCUUUGUGGGUUGCUACUAGUUUGGGUGUCUUCGGGGAUGUCWACCGUAAAGGUGCAUGAGUGGUGUUUGGUUUGUUACGGGUGGUUGGCUCUUUGCUUGCGCAACAACUUCCACCUGGCAUACCUCUUCAGUCUUGUGUCAAUGUUUGUUUUGCAUUGAAUGCACGACGGGUUUCUUGUGUUGCAUGCCUAAUUAAUGGUAUCGUUUGAUGAAUUGGUUUCCCUUUUCGUCUUGCGUCGCCUAUGCGAUGUGAGAUGAACCUUGAAGCAGCCUUUGUGAUCCACACUUUUGAUGCAUACGCAUUGAUUUUGUGGCCCAUUAAGUGUUGCUCGGUCUCAUGGAUAUGGAACCUGGUGUGGGCAUGGAAUCGUAAUGGUUCCUUGUUUGCCCAAGUUUAGCUUUUUUAAAACGAUUUGUCUAUCA